GACAGAGGGUGCAAACGUUGUUCGGAAUUACUGGGCGUAAAGCGCGUGUAGGCGGCUAUGCAAGUCGGGCGUGAAAUCCCACGGCUCAACCGUGGAAGUGCACUCGAAACUGCGUAGCUAGAGUCCCGGAGAGGAAGGUGGAAUACUUGGUGUAGAGGUGAAAUGCUUAGAUAUCGUCAAGAACACCUAUUGCGAAGGCAGCUAACUAAGCUUUAACUGACGCUGAUGCACGAAAGUGUGGGGAUCAAACAGG
Molecule: ribosomal RNA, 253 nt
Filed under: uncultured bacterium
Lineage: Bacteria
Description: partial 16S ribosomal RNA
Rfam family: Bacterial small subunit ribosomal RNA
Source: RNAcentral